RNAcentral lists this ribosomal RNA (453 nucleotides) under uncultured bacterium. RNAcentral's name for it is "bacterial SSU rRNA". It matches the Rfam family "Bacterial small subunit ribosomal RNA", at positions 341 to 786 of the family's 1533-position model. The record is from RNAcentral.
UAGGGAGGCAGCAGUGGGGAAUAUUGCACAAUGGGCGAAAGCCUGAUGCAGCUAUGCCGCGUGUAUGAAGAAGGCCUUAGGGUUGUAAAGUACUUUCAUCGGGGAGGAAAAACAAAACUAAUAAUUUUAUUUCUUGACGUUACCCGAAAAAGAAGCACCGGCUAACUCCGUGCCAGCAGCCGCGGUAAUACGGAGGGUGCUAGCGUUAAUCAGAAUUACUGGGCGUAAAGAGCACGUAGGUGGUUUUUUUAAGUCAGAUGUGAAAUCCCUGGGCUUAACCUGGAACUGCAUUUUGAAACUGAAAUACUAGAGUAUCGUAGAGGGAGGUAGAAUUCUAGGUGUAGCGGUGAAAUGCGUAGAUAUCUGGAGGAAUACCUGUGGCGAAAGCGGCCUCCUAAACGAAUACUGACACUGAGGUGCGAAAGCGUGGGGAGCAAACAGGGAUUAGAUACC